This 615-nucleotide ribosomal RNA is filed under the name uncultured bacterium. Its description in RNAcentral is "bacterial SSU rRNA". It matches the Rfam family "Bacterial small subunit ribosomal RNA", at positions 69 to 677 of the family's 1533-position model. The record is from RNAcentral.
CACAGGGGAGCUUGCUCUCCGGGUGACGAGUGGCGGACGGGUGAGUAAUGUCUGGGGAUCUGCCCGAUGGAGGGGGAUAACUACUGGAAACGGUAGCUAAUACCGCAUAACCUCGAAAGAGCAAAGUGGGGGACCUUCGGGCCUCACACCAUCGGAUGAACCCAGAUGGGAUUAGCUAGUAGGUGGGGUAACGGCUCACCUAGGCGACGAUCCCUAGCUGGUCUGAGAGGAUGACCAGCCACACUGGAACUGAGACACGGUCCAGACUCCUACGGGAGGCAGCAGUGGGGAAUAUUGCACAAUGGGCGCAAGCCCGAUGCAGCCAUGCCGCGUGUAUGAAGAAGGCCUUCGGGUUGUAAAGUACUUUCAGCGGGGAGGAAGGGAUGAAGGUUAAUAACCUUCGUCAUUGACGUUACCCGCAGAAGAAGCACCGGCUAACUCCGUGCCAGCAGCCGCGGUAAUACGGAGGGUGCAAGCGUUAAUCGGAAUUACUGGGCGUAAAGCGCACGCAGGCGGUUUGUUAAGUCAGAUGUGAAAUCCCCGGGCUCAACCUGGGGACUGCAUUUGAAACUGGCAAGCUUGAGUCUCGUAGAGGGGGGUAGAAUUCCAGGUGUA